This 468-nucleotide ribosomal RNA is filed under the name uncultured bacterium. Its description in RNAcentral is "partial 16S ribosomal RNA". It matches the Rfam family "Bacterial small subunit ribosomal RNA", at positions 28 to 507 of the family's 1533-position model. The record is from RNAcentral.
GACGAACGCUGGCGGCGUGCUUAACACAUGCAAGUCGAACGGAAAGGCCCUGCUUUUGUGGGGUGCUCGAGUGGCGAACGGGUGAGUAACACGUAAGUAACCUGCCCUUGACUUUGGGAUAACUUCAGGAAACUGGGGCUAAUACCGGAUAGGAGCUCCUGCUGCAUGGUGGGGGUUGGAAAUUUUCGGCGGUUGGGGAUGGACUCGCGGCUUAUCAGCUUGUUGGUGGGGUAGUGGCUUACCAAGGCUUUGACGGGUAGCCGGCCUGAGAGGGUGACCGGCCACAUUGGGACUGAGAUACGGCCCAGACUCCUACGGGAGGCAGCAGUGGGGAAUAUUGUACAAUGGGCGGAAGCCUGAUGCAGCAACGCCGCGUGCGGGAUGCCGGCCUUCGGGUUGUAAACAGCUUUCGCCUGUGACGAAGCGUGAGUGACGGUAAUGGGUAAAGAAGCACCGGCUAACUACGUG